This 399-nucleotide ribosomal RNA is filed under the name uncultured bacterium. RNAcentral's name for it is "bacterial SSU rRNA". It matches the Rfam family "Bacterial small subunit ribosomal RNA", at positions 358 to 774 of the family's 1533-position model. The record is from RNAcentral.
GGAAUAUUGCACAAUGGGGGAAACCCUGAUGCAGCGACACCGCGUGAGUGAGGAAGUAUUUCGGUAUGUAAAGCUCUAUCAGCAGUGAAGAAAAUGACGGUACCUGACUAAGAAGCCCCGGCUAACUACGUGCCAGCAGCCGCGGUAAUACGUAGGGGGCAAGCGUUAUCCGGAUUUACUGGGUGUAAAGGGAGCGUAGACGGAAUUGCAAGUCUGAUGUGAAAAUCCGGGGCCCAACCCCGGAACUGCAUUGGAAACUGUAUUUCUAGAGUGUCGGAGAGGCAAGUGGAAUUCCUGGUGUAGCGGUGAAAUGCGUAGAUAUUAGGAGGAACACCAGUGGCGAAGGCGGUCUGCUGGACAGAAACUGACGCUGAGGCGCGAAAGCGUGGGGAGCAAACA